CGAGAAAGUGCGUUCUGGGUGGAGGCUGCUCUGUUCCUUUCCUGCAGCCACGGCGCCCAAGGGUGGCAUGGGGAGAUGUGCUAACCAUGGACCCUUUUCCCCCUUUUGAGGGCCCAAAAGACUGCUGUAGGAAGAAAGCAGCAAACAAAGCUCUGAGCCAGCCCCCUGGGCCCGAAGCUCCCGGGCCGGCGACCCACAGGCUGCCAGAGACGUUACCGGAGCUGAUGAUUCAACUUCCUGCCUUCUGAGAGCUCCCAGACCACAGAGGUUUUCUUGCUGGGAGGACGGGCCACCUCCCUGCAGACGUCCAGCCACCACGGGACCCGGCCAGCUACAGACAGCAAGGGCCAGGCAGUGCACAGGCAGACCAGGGGCUCACCCUGGGGUGCCAGGAGGCUGGCCCUCAAGUCGGUCCCACUUUGGGUUAACGCUGACCACAUAGGGUGCCCCAUGACUGACUGGUCAGCAGCUGUCCCAGUUUUAGCACCCCAAAUCCUAUAUCCCAGGAAAUGCUGGCCACUGUGUUACCACCCAUAGCAUGAUUUUCUGCCUCAAUGAUUUUAGGGGUCUGAGCCCCAGGGCAGAACAUUCUAGAAUCUGAAAUUGUUGCACCACAGCCCAAGGGGCAGACCUGGCUUUCUGCCUGUUUUUGUACAACUCCUGACCUAAGAAUAGUCAUCUCAUUUUUAAUGGAUGAAGACAAACUUAAGGAAGAAUAAUACUUCAUGACAUGUAAAAAUUACAUGAAAUUCAAAUUUCAGUGUGCAUAAAUAAAGGAACGCAGCCACGCUC
Molecule: long non-coding RNA, 792 nt
Organism: Cavia porcellus (domestic guinea pig)
Lineage: Eukaryota; Metazoa; Chordata; Mammalia; Rodentia; Caviidae
Exons: 2
Source: RefSeq, a predicted model, not a curated record